UACGAAGGGGGCUAGCGUUGUUCGGAAUUACGGGGCGGAAAGCGCGCGCAGGCGGCUAUCCAAGUCAGUGGUGAAAGCCCGGAGCUCAACUCCGGAACUGCCAUUGAAACUGUUUAGCUGGAGUAUGAGAGAGGUGAGUGGAAUUCCCAGUGUAGAGGUGAAAUUCGUAGAUAUUGGGAAGAACACCGGUGGCGAAGGCGGCUCACUGGCUCACUACUGACGCUCAUGCGCGACAGCGUGGGGAUCAAACAGG
This 253-nucleotide ribosomal RNA is filed under the name uncultured bacterium. RNAcentral's name for it is "partial 16S ribosomal RNA". It matches the Rfam family "Bacterial small subunit ribosomal RNA", at positions 524 to 776 of the family's 1533-position model. The record is from RNAcentral.